Molecule: small RNA, 130 nt
Filed under: Arabidopsis thaliana (thale cress)
Lineage: Eukaryota; Viridiplantae; Streptophyta; Magnoliopsida; Brassicales; Brassicaceae
Description: ATSL086780
Source: RNAcentral
UUUGUGUUUUACAGGACCGAUUUUCGAGGACUUUGAUUGGAACCGGGGAGGAACGUGAUGGAGUGUAUUAUCUAACGGAUGCGGCUACAACAACGGUGCAUAAAGUGGACAUCACAACAGAUCAUGCUUU